GUAGGGUGGCAAGCGUUGUCCGGAAUUAUUGGGCGUAAAGCGCGCGCAGGCGGUCCUUUAAGUCUGAUGUGAAAGCCCACGGCUCAACCGUGGAGGGUCAUUGGAAACUGGGGGACUUGAGUACAGAAGAGGAAAGCGGAAUUCCAAGUGUAGCGGUGAAAUGCGUAGAGAUUUGGAGGAACACCAGUGGCGAAGGCGGCUUUCUGGUCUGUAACUGACGCUAAGGCGCGAAAGCGUGGGGAGCAAACAGGAUUAGAUACCCUGGUAGUCCACGCCGUAAACGAUGAGUGCUAAGUGUUAGGGGGUUUCCGCCCCUUAGUGCUGCAGCUAACGCAUUAAGCACUCCGCCUGGGGAGUACGGCCGCAAGGCUG
This 372-nucleotide ribosomal RNA is filed under the name uncultured organism. RNAcentral's name for it is "partial 16S ribosomal RNA". It matches the Rfam family "Bacterial small subunit ribosomal RNA", at positions 526 to 896 of the family's 1533-position model. The record is from RNAcentral.